This 484-nucleotide ribosomal RNA is filed under the name uncultured bacterium. RNAcentral's name for it is "partial 16S ribosomal RNA". It matches the Rfam family "Bacterial small subunit ribosomal RNA", at positions 30 to 507 of the family's 1533-position model. The record is from RNAcentral.
AUUGAACGCUGGCGGCAGGCCUAACACAUGCAAGUCGAGCGGAUGAAGGGAGCUUGCUCCUGGAUUCAGCGGCGGACGGGUGAGUAAUGCCUAGGAAUCUGCCUGGUAGUGGGGGAUAACGUCCGGAAACGGGCGCUAAUACCGCAUACGUCCUGAGGGAGAAAGUGGGGGAUCUUCGGACCUCACGCUAUCAGAUGAGCCUAGGUCGGAUUAGCUAGUUGGUGAGGUAAAGGCCUACCAAGGCGACGAUCCGUAACUGGUCUGAGAGGAUGAUCAGUCACACUGGAACUGAGACACGGUCCAGACUCCUACGGGAGGCAGCAGUGGGGAAUAUUGGACAAUGGGCGAAAGCCUGAUCCAGCCAUGCCGCGUGUGUGAAGAAGGUCUUCGGAUUGUAGAGCACUUUAAGUUGGGAGGAAGGGCAGUAAGUUAAUACCUUGCUGUUUUGACGUUACCAACAGAAUAAGCACCGGCUAACUUCGUG